Bison bison bison is the source of this 107-nucleotide small nuclear RNA. NCBI's taxonomy places the organism in Eukaryota, Metazoa, Chordata, Mammalia, Artiodactyla, Bovidae. The record is from Ensembl.
GUGCUCUCUUCCCCAGCACAUAUACUAAAACGGGAAUGAUGCAGUGAAGAUUAGCAUGGCUCCUGCACAAGGAUGACACGCAAACUUGUAAAGUGUUCAUAUUUUUU